UUAAGUUAGAAAGGGCGCACGGUGAAUGCCUUGGCACUAGGAGCCGAUGAAGGACGGGACUAACACCGAUAUGCUUCGGGGAGCUGUAAGUGAGCUUUGAUCCGGAGAUUUCCGAAUGGGGAAACCCACUGUUCGUAAUGGAACAGUAUCUUUAUCUGAAUACAUAGGAUAUUGAAGGCAGACCCGGGGAACUGAAACAUCUAAGUACCCGGAGGAAGAGAAAGCAAAUGCGAUUUCCUGAGUAGCGGCGAGCGAAACGGAAUUAGCCCAAACCAAGAGGCUUGCCUCUUGGGGUUGUAGGACACUCUAUACGGAGUUACAAAGGAACGAAGUAAAUGAAGCGACCUGGAAAGGUCCGUCAAAGAAGGUAACAACCCUGUAGUUGAAACUUCGUUCCCUCUUGAGUGGAUCCUGAGUACGGCGGAACACGUGAAAUUCCGUCGGAAGCUGGGAGGACCAUCUCCCAAGGCUAAAUACUACCUAGUGACCGAUAGUGAACCAGUACCGUGAGGGAAAGGUGAAAAGCACCCCGGAAGGGGAGUGAAAGAGAUCCUGAAACCGUGUGCCUACAAGUAGUCAGAGCCCGUUAAUGGGUGAUGGCGUGCCUUUUGUAGAAUGAACCGGCGAGUUACGAUCCCAUGCAAGGUUAAGCUGAUAAGGCGGAGCCGUAGCGAAAGCGAGUCUGAAUAGGGCGUUUAGUAUGUGGUUGUAGACCCGAAACCAGGUGAUCUACCCAUGUCCAGGGUGAAGUUCAGGUAACACUGAAUGGAGGCCCGAACCCACGCACGUUGAAAAGUGCGGGGAUGAGGUGUGGGUAGCGGAGAAAUUCCAAUCGAACCUGGAGAUAGCUGGUUCUCUCCGAAAUAGCUUUAGGGCUAGCCUCAUGUUGUGAGAGUCUUGGAGGUAGAGCACUGAUUGGACUAGGGGCCCCCAACGGGUUACCGAAUUCAGUCAAACUCCGAAUGCCAAAGACUUAUCCAUGGGAGUCAGACUGCGAGUGAUAAGAUCCGUAGUCAAAAGGGAAACAGCCCAGACCACCAGCUAAGGUCCCCAAGUAUACGUUAAGUGGAAAAGGAUGUGGAGUUGCUUAGACAACCAGGAUGUUGGCUUAGAAGCAGCCACCAUUUAAAGAGUGCGUAAUAGCUCACUGGUCGAGUGACUCUGCGCCGAAAAUGUACCGGGGCUAAACGUAUCACCGAAGCUGUGGAUUGACAUCUUUGAUGUCAGUGGUAGGAGAGCGUUCUAAGUGCUGUGAAGUCAGACCGUAAGGACUGGUGGAGCGCUUAGAAGUGAGAAUGCCGGUAUGAGUAGCGAAAGACAAGUGAGAAUCUUGUCCACCGAAUGCCUAAGGUUUCCUGAGGAAGGCUCGUCCGCUCAGGGUUAGUCGGGACCUAAGCCGAGGCUGAAAAGCGUAGGCGAUGGCCAACAGGUUGAUAUUCCUGUACCACCUCCCCGCCGUUUGAGUAAUGGGGGGACGCAGUAGGAUAGGGUAAGCGCGCUGCUGGAUAUGCGCGUUCAAGCAGUUAGGCUGAUGAGUAGGCAAAUCCGCUCAUCAUAAAGGCUGAGCUGUGAUGACGAGGGAAUUAUAGUACCGAAGUUCCUGAUUCCACACUGCCAAGAAAAGCCUCUAGCGAGGCGGGAGGUGCCCGUACCGCAAACCGACACAGGUAGGCGAGGAGAGAAUCCUAAGGUGAUCGAGAGAACUCUCGUUAAGGAACUCGGCAAAAUGACCCCGUAACUUCGGGAGAAGGGGUGCUCUGGUAGGGUGUAUAGCCCGAGAGAGCCGCAGUGAAUAGGCCCAGGCGACUGUUUAGCAAAAACACAGGUCUCUGCGAAGCCGCAAGGCGAAGUAUAGGGGCUGACGCCUGCCCGGUGCUGGAAGGUUAAGAGGAGGGGUUAUCCUUUGGGAGAAGCUCUGAAUCGAAGCCCCAGUAAACGGCGGCCGUAACUAUAACGGUCCUAAGGUAGCGAAAUUCCUUGUCGGGUAAGUUCCGACCCGCACGAAAGGCGUAACGAUCUGGGCACUGUCUCAACGAGAGACUCGGUGAAAUUAUAGUACCUGUGAAGAUGCAGGUUACCCGCGACAGGACGGAAAGACCCCGUGGAGCUUUACUGUAGCCUGAUAUUGAAUUUUGGUACAGCUUGUACAGGAUAGGUAGGAGCCUGAGAAGCCGGAGCGCUAGCUUCGGUGGAGGCGUCGGUGGGAUACUACCCUGGCUGUAUUGAAAUUCUAACCCGCGGCCCUGAUCGGGCCGGGAGACAGUGUCAGGUGGGCAGUUUGACUGGGGCGGUCGCCUCCUAAAAUGUAACGGAGGCGCCCAAAGGUUCCCUCAGAAUGGUUGGAAAUCAUUCGUAGAGUGUAAAGGCACAAGGGAGCUUGACUGCGAGACCUACAAGUCGAGCAGGGACGAAAGUCGGGCUUAGUGAUCCGGUGGUUCCGCAUGGAAGGGCCAUCGCUCAACGGAUAAAAGCUACCCCGGGGAUAACAGGCUUAUCUCCCCCAAGAGUCCACAUCGACGGGGAGGUUUGGCACCUCGAUGUCGGCUCAUCGCAUCCUGGGGCUGUAGUCGGUCCCAAGGGUUGGGCUGUUCGCCCAUUAAAGCGGUACGCGAGCUGGGUUCAGAACGUCGUGAGACAGUUCGGUCCCUAUCCGUCGUGGGCGUAGGAAAUUUGAGAGGAGCUGUCCUUAGUACGAGAGGACCGGGAUGGACACACCGCUGGUGUACCAGUUGUCUUGCCAAAGGCAUCGCUGGGUAGCUAUGUGUGGACGGGAUAAGUGCUGAAAGCAUCUAAGCAUGAAGCCCCCCUCAAGAUGAGAUUUCCCAUAGCGCAAGCUAGUAAGAUCCCUGAAAGAUGAUCAGGUUGAUAGGUCAGAGGUGGAAGCGUGGCGACAUGUGUAGCUGACUGAUACUAAUCGAUCGAGGACUUAACCAA
Molecule: ribosomal RNA, 2934 nt
Filed under: Priestia aryabhattai
Lineage: Bacteria; Bacillati; Bacillota; Bacilli; Caryophanales; Bacillaceae
Description: bacterial LSU rRNA
Rfam family: Bacterial large subunit ribosomal RNA
Source: RNAcentral